ACGAAAUCCUAUUGCGCUGGAAUCCCGAGGAGAUUCGACACGAGGGCAAGAAUUCGUUUUUGAGCAGUUCAAACGUCCCUCAUCAUAAAUCAACGGUAUUCUGUCCAGAUCCUCUGCCAGUGGCCACAUCCAUCUAAAAUUCGGCCGGUGGGAAGUCGAACAGUUCCAUUUUUUAAGAGACGACGAGCAUCAAUGCCGCAUUCACAGUAUUUCUCUCUGAAAAUCAAGACAACAUGUUUCUAAGAACGCACAGACGCCUCCUUCUAUUUUCUUAUCAAAUAAUAACGAAACUUUGGAGUUCCUUUCCAUCGAGGGUGAAAAAUGUCAAAGUCCUCAAGACUGGUCUGCGCUGCCAAAUGCUUCAGAGUUGUUGCAGAAUUUUGGACACAAGUCAUCAUUUCCUCCGUCACAAUGAGUGAGUCCAGCUUCAGUAGUCUAUCAUUAGUAAUACGUGAGAUUUGCUAGUGACUUUAGUGAAGUCACUUUACUACAUAAUAUAUUAUGCAUUAUGAUAUGCGUUAUUGGUUUCUCACUUCUCGUAUGCACCCACAAAAUUUGCUUUUAGUUACACCCCAUCCAUCCAAUUGGUUUGUAUCCCAUGUCACAUCGAGAAGCCUAGCGUCCAUCAAGUGAUGGCGACACGAUGUGUCACAAUUUAUUUCUCCAGGAUAUGGCUUUCUUCCAAGCCCAGCAAUCAGUUUGUGAGUGUUGCAAAUGCAACUUCGUCUUGACUCUAUGUCGCAAAUUCCAUUAUCAUGACCUAAAAUUGUAAUGUUACUAUACAGAAAAAUUAUAAGGGUGGGGGUGGAAUUAUAAACGCCGUAAUUAAUAACUACGAAUACAAUUACAAAUCUGCAAUAAAUACGUUUUUAAGUGUUAUGUUAUUAUUAACUUACCGCAAAUCCAUCUGCAGAUUUCGUCAGUGCAUGGUCGAAAUUGGCUCAUUUCCAAUUCCUAUAAAUUGCAUUAGGGAAGAUUUGUUGGUGUUAUUCUGUGCGUUUCUACCUAUUGUAUUGAUGUACUUACAACUUUAAUGCAAUGACAAAAUUUGCCAUCAUAUACGAAAGAGAACAUUGACCAUCGAUACCACGGCGAAAAUCUUUCAGAUGAUGGGGAAAAAAGUGGAUUCUUUUCAAUGACUCGAGCUGAGAGACCGUGCGCAAAACAAGAAUCUUGACAAAAUUUUUCGCUGAAAAAGAUUUAAAACUGUUAAAAUAAGAACACAACUUUUCUCUUAAUAUGUAUGUAUGCUGCACAAUAAAUAAUCUAAAUACUUA
Molecule: long non-coding RNA, 1277 nt
Organism: Folsomia candida
Lineage: Eukaryota; Metazoa; Arthropoda; Collembola; Entomobryomorpha; Isotomidae
Exons: 3
Source: RefSeq, a predicted model, not a curated record